AUUGAACGCUGGCGGCAGGCCUAACACAUGCAAGUCGAACGGUAACAGGAAGCAGCUUGCUGCUUCGCUGACGAGUGGCGGACGGGUGAGUAAUGUCUGGGAAACUGCCUGAUGGAGGGGGAUAACUACUGGAAACGGUAGCUAAUACCGCAUAACGUCGCAAGACCAAAGAGGGGGACCUUAGGGCCUCUUGCCAUCGGAUGUGCCCAGAUGGGAUUAGCUAGUAGGUGGGGUAACGGCUCACCUAGGCGACGAUCCCUAGCUGGUCUGAGAGGAUGACCAGCCACACUGGAACUGAGACACGGUCCAGACUCCUACGGGAGGCAGCAGUGGGGAAUAUUGCACAAUGGGCGCAAGCCUGAUGCAGCCAUGCCGCGUGUAUGAAGAAGGCCUUCGGGUUGUAAAGUACUUUCAGCGGGGAGGAAGGGAGUAAAGUUAAUACCUUUGCUAAUUGACGUUAUCCGCAGAAGAAGCACCGGCUAACUCCGUG
Molecule: ribosomal RNA, 490 nt
Filed under: uncultured bacterium
Lineage: Bacteria
Description: partial 16S ribosomal RNA
Rfam family: Bacterial small subunit ribosomal RNA
Source: RNAcentral